AUUGUAGCCAAAUGUCAAGGUACUUAGCUGUUAACUAAGUAAUAGUGGGAUCAAUACCCGCCAAUUUAG
RNAcentral lists this transfer RNA (69 nucleotides) under Simosthenurus occidentalis (short-faced kangaroo). RNAcentral's name for it is "tRNA-Asn". It matches the Rfam family "tRNA". From Rfam's summary of the family: Transfer RNA (tRNA) molecules are approximately 80 nucleotides in length. Their secondary structure includes four short double-helical elements and three loops (D, anti-codon, and T loops). Further hydrogen bonds mediate the characteristic L-shaped molecular structure. tRNAs have two regions of fundamental functional importance: the anti-codon, which is responsible for specific mRNA codon recognition, and the 3' end, to which the tRNAs corresponding amino acid is attached (by aminoacyl-tRNA synthetases). tRNAs cope with the degeneracy of the genetic code in two manners: having more than one tRNA (with a specific anti-codon) for a particular amino acid; and 'wobble' base-pairing, i.e. permitting non-standard base-pairing at the 3rd anti-codon position. Lineage: Eukaryota; Metazoa; Chordata; Mammalia; Diprotodontia; Macropodidae. The record is from RNAcentral.